UACAGAGGGUGCGAGCGUUAAUCGGAAUUACUGGGCGUAAAGCGCGCGUAGGCGGCUUUGCAAGUCGGGUGUGAAAUCCCCAGGCUUAACCUGGGAACUGCAUUCGAGACUGCAUUGCUAGAGUAUGGGAGAGGGAAGUGGAAUUUCAGGUGUAGCGGUGAAAUGCGUAGAUAUCUGAAGGAACAUCAGUGGCGAAAGCGACUUCCUGGACCAAUACUGACGCUCAUGUGCGAAAGCGUGGGGAGCAAACAGGAUUAGAUACCCUGGUAGUCCACGCCAUAAACGAUGAGAACUGGAUGUCGGGAGGGUCUGCCUCUCGGUGUCGUAGCUAACGCGUUAAGUUCUCCGCCUGGGGAGUACGGCCGCAAGGUUGAA
RNAcentral lists this ribosomal RNA (375 nucleotides) under uncultured bacterium. RNAcentral's name for it is "bacterial SSU rRNA". It matches the Rfam family "Bacterial small subunit ribosomal RNA", at positions 524 to 898 of the family's 1533-position model. The record is from RNAcentral.